RNAcentral lists this ribosomal RNA (449 nucleotides) under uncultured bacterium. RNAcentral's name for it is "partial 16S ribosomal RNA". It matches the Rfam family "Bacterial small subunit ribosomal RNA", at positions 29 to 523 of the family's 1533-position model. The record is from RNAcentral.
AACGAACGCUAGCGGCAUGCCUAACACAUGCAAGUCGAACGAGAUCUUCGGGUCUAGUGGCGCACGGGUGCGUAACGCGUGGGAAUCUGCCCUUUGGUUCGGAAUAACAGUUGGAAACGACUGCUAAUACCGGAUGAUGACGAAAGUCCAAAGAUUUAUCGCCAGAGGAUGAGCCCGCGUAGGAUUAGCUAGUUGGUGUGGUAAAGGCGCACCAAGGCGACGAUCCUUAGCUGGUCUGAGAGGAUGAUCAGCCACACUGGGACUGAGACACGGCCCAGACUCCUACGGGAGGCAGCAGUGGGGAAGAUUGGACAAUGGGCGAAAGCCUGAUCCAGCAAUGCCGCGUGAGUGAUGAAGGCCUUAGGGUUGUAAAGCUCUUUUACCCGGGAUGAUAAUGGCAGUACCGGGAGAAUAAGCUCCGGCUAACUCCGUGCCAGCCGCCGCCGUAA